UUAGGAAUAUUGGACAAUGGGCGCAAGCCUGAUCCAGCCAUGCCGCGUGAGCGAUGAAGGCCUUCGGGUUGUAAAGCUCUUUAGUCCACGAAUAUAAUGACUGUAGUGGAAGAAUAAGCCCCGGCUAACUUCGUGCCAGCAGCCGCGGUAAUACGAAGGGGGCGAGCGUUGUUCGGAAUCACUGGGCGUAAAGCGUGCGUAGGCUGUUUUGCAAGUUGGAAGUGAAAUCCCGAGGCUCAACCUCGGAAUUGCUUUCAAAACUGCAAGACUUGAAUUCGGGAGAGGAUAGCGGAAUUGUCAGUGUAGCAGUGAAAUGCGUAGAUAUUGACAGGAACACCAGUGGCGUAAGCGGCUAUCUGGACCGACAUUGACGCUGAGGCACGAAAGCGUGGGGAUCAAACAGG
RNAcentral lists this ribosomal RNA (404 nucleotides) under uncultured Alphaproteobacteria bacterium. RNAcentral describes it as "bacterial SSU rRNA". It matches the Rfam family "Bacterial small subunit ribosomal RNA", at positions 355 to 776 of the family's 1533-position model. Lineage: Bacteria; Pseudomonadati; Pseudomonadota; Alphaproteobacteria. The record is from RNAcentral.